RNAcentral lists this unclassified non-coding RNA (540 nucleotides) under Penaeus monodon (black tiger shrimp). RNAcentral describes it as "uncharacterized LOC119583119, transcript variant X2". Lineage: Eukaryota; Metazoa; Arthropoda; Malacostraca; Decapoda; Penaeidae. The record is from RNAcentral.
GUGAAGGAAGACACUGCGUAUUGUGCGCUAUCUUCUUACUCUGCAUACGCGAAGGAAACUUAACAAGUGAAAGGGAAGGUUAAGAAUAUUCUAGGGAUGAUACUGGAAACACGAUCUAUAUCAUCCUUAUACUGACAACACAGGAAGCACCACGGAUUAUGGAAACGUCACAGUUGAGUCUGCUACUCCUCGUGGGCGGCCUGUUCUACGCCCACGUCGGCAUCCUUAUGGUCACAACGCAGGCGAGAGUAGCCAAAGUUACUCCAUUUAUCCUUUGCUAUCCGGUUAGGGUUGGAACCGUGUACCUCGUUCUAGCCGCUAAAUUACCCCCUGUGUGCAAGAUUGCUAGGGGAGAAUGCUACCAUUGCACACACAGCAGCGAUGAAGUGAGAAGGAGAACAGAAGACGGGAAAAAAAGUAGAGAGAGAAAGACGUAGAAAGGAUGAAGAUGAAAAAGACAAUACAUAGGAGGAAGAAGAAGAAAAAGCAGAUAUUGAAAACUAGGGAAUAUGAUCCCUAUAUUUUCCUCGACUUAAUAAA